Acanthosepion pharaonis is the source of this 107-nucleotide non-coding RNA. Lineage: Eukaryota; Metazoa; Mollusca; Cephalopoda; Sepiida; Sepiidae. The record is from the annotation of a GenBank genome assembly.
UACGGCCAUAUUACGUUGAAGCACCAGUUUUCGUACGACCACAAAAGUUAAACAACGUCGAGCCUGGGAGUACCUAUAUGGGUGACUGCUUGGGAAUACAGGUGCUA